UCUAGAGGCUUCGGCAAUGGGGGCAACCCUGACCGAGCGACGCCGCGUGUGGGAUUGAAGGCCUUCGGGUCGUAAACCACUGUCAUCGGGGACGAAUACCGGAAUGGCGAAUUCCGGGGGGACGGUACCCGAGGAGGAAGCCCCGGCUAACUCCGUGCCAGCAGCCGCGGUAAUACGGAGGGGGCAAGCGUUGUUCGGAUUUACUGGGCGUAAAGGGUGUGUAGGCGGCCGCGCAAGUCUGGUGUGAAAUCUUCACCGCUCAACGGGAAGAGGGCACUGGAAACUGCGCGGCUCGAGUAUGGUAGAGGCAAGCGGAAUUCCUGGUGUAGCGGUGGAAUGUGUAGAGAUCAGGAAGAACACCGGUGGCGAAGGCGGCUUGCUGGGCCAUUACUGACGCUGAGACACGAAAGCGUGGGGAGCAAACGGG
RNAcentral lists this ribosomal RNA (427 nucleotides) under uncultured prokaryote. RNAcentral's name for it is "bacterial SSU rRNA". It matches the Rfam family "Bacterial small subunit ribosomal RNA", at positions 355 to 776 of the family's 1533-position model. RNAcentral also lists the same sequence under 1 other name. The record is from RNAcentral.